Molecule: ribosomal RNA, 253 nt
Filed under: uncultured bacterium
Lineage: Bacteria
Description: partial 16S ribosomal RNA
Rfam family: Bacterial small subunit ribosomal RNA
Source: RNAcentral
UACGUACCGGACGAACGUUAUUCGGAUUUACUGGGCUUAAAGAGUGCGUAGGCGGCUUUGUAGGUGGGGUGUGAAAGCCCACGGCUCAACCGUGGAAUUGCGCUCCAAACCACAAGGCUUGAGGGAGACAGAGGUGAGCGGAACUGAUGGUGGAGCGGUGAAAUGCGUUGAUAUCAUCAGGAACACCCGUGGCGAAGGCGGCUCACUGGGUCUCUUCUGACGCUGAGGCACGAAAGCUAGGGGAGCGAACGGG